UACGGAGGGUGCAAGCGUUAUCCGGAUUCACUGGGUUUAAAGGGUGCGUAGGUGGUUUUGUCAGUCAGUGGUGAAAGCCCGGAGCUUAACUCCGGAACUGCCAUUGAUACUGCUUAACUUGAAUCAACUUGAGGUGGAUGGAAUAAUACAUGUAGCGGUGAAAUGCUUAGAUAUGUAUUAGAACACCGAUUGCGAAGGCAGUUCACUAAGGUUGUAUUGACACUGAGGCACGAAAGCGUGGGGAGCAAACAGG
RNAcentral lists this ribosomal RNA (253 nucleotides) under uncultured bacterium. RNAcentral describes it as "partial 16S ribosomal RNA". It matches the Rfam family "Bacterial small subunit ribosomal RNA", at positions 524 to 776 of the family's 1533-position model. The record is from RNAcentral.